AGCGGAGGAAAAGAAACUAACAAGGAUUCCCCUAGUAGCGGCGAGCGAAGCGGGAAGAGCUCAAAUUUAUAAUCUGGCACCUUCGGUGUCCGAGUUGUAAUCUCUAGAAAUGUUUUCCGCGUUGGACCGCACACAAGUCUGUUGGAAUACAGCGGCAUAGUGGUGAGACCCCCGUAUAUGGUGCGGACGCCCAGCGCUUUGUGAUACAUUUUCGAAGAGUCGAGUUGUUUGGGAAUGCAGCUCAAAUUGGGUGGUAAAUUCCAUCUAAAGCUAAAUAUUGGCGAGAGACCGAUAGCGAACAAGUACCGUGAGGGAAAGAUGAAAAGCACUUUGGAAAGAGAGUUAACAGUACGUGAAAUUGUUGGAAGGGAAACGCUUGAAGUCAGACUUGCUUGCCGAGCAAUCGGUUUGCAGGCCAGCAUCAGUUUUCCGGGAUGGAUAAUGGUAGAGAGAAGGUAGCAGUUUCGGCUGUGUUAUAGCUCUCUGCUGGAUACAUCUUGGGGGACUGAGGAACGCAGUGUGCCUUGGCGGGGG
RNAcentral lists this ribosomal RNA (534 nucleotides) under Rhodotorula mucilaginosa. RNAcentral describes it as "partial large subunit ribosomal RNA". It matches the Rfam family "Eukaryotic large subunit ribosomal RNA", at positions 49 to 579 of the family's 3401-position model. Lineage: Eukaryota; Fungi; Basidiomycota; Microbotryomycetes; Sporidiobolales; Sporidiobolaceae. The record is from RNAcentral.